GUCUCAGGCCGUAUCAGCCUGAAGGCGCCCGAUCUCGUCUGAUCUCGGAAGGUAAGCAGGGUCGGGCCUGGUUAGUAUCUUGGAUGGGAGACCACCUGGGAAUCCCGGGUGCUCGAGGCU
RNAcentral lists this ribosomal RNA (120 nucleotides) under Bison bison bison. The record is from RNAcentral. Lineage: Eukaryota; Metazoa; Chordata; Mammalia; Artiodactyla; Bovidae.